This 1253-nucleotide long non-coding RNA is filed under the name Numida meleagris (helmeted guineafowl). RNAcentral's name for it is "lncRNA (ENSNMEG00000020869.1)". The record is from RNAcentral. Lineage: Eukaryota; Metazoa; Chordata; Aves; Galliformes; Numididae.
CUUGAAACCCUGCAGCUUUUCUGCUCUUGAUUACAGCUCACCUGUGCCCCAAAACACAAGCCCACCCGUGGGCAGGGUCAGGCCUGGCAGCUGAUGACUGAGGAAGGCUGUUGUGUUGGGACCCCACGGCAGCAUGACAGUGAAGGAAAAUUCAGCGAUGUACCCAGAGUCCCGCAGUCUCCAUGCGAAGGUUAUGUGUGCUCUGAUCGGCGUGUCCUCCGGAGAAGGCAAAGGAUGCACGGAAAUGUUGUCCUGUUUGCGGAAAAAAAGACCAAGAGCUGUUCCCUGAAUGCAAGAGUCUGUCCCUUUGUGCUCCUCCAGCAGCUGGGCACUGUGCGGGUGGAUCAGAGACAGCAGGCGCAAAACGGUGGGUGCAGCGCGAGAGGGUUUCAAGAGAGUGGAUCAUUAGCAAAUUCAAUCAGCUGGCACCGGCGCGGGCUGGCAUGGAGGGCUCCGGCGGUGCCAGGGAGGCUGGUGCCAUGCACAGCUCCCCAGGCUGGCUGCUCACCUCUGCUUCCCCCAGCCAGCCCGCGAUCAGAGCUCCUGCAGUGCAAUCCGCUAAUAACGCGAGGGUCUCUGCUUCCAGGAACGAUCCUCCUGCAGCGGCACAUCAGCGUUUCUUCUCUUGUAACAUCAUUCCUGGAAGUGGUGCGAUGUGACAUGCCCUCACUGCCUGUCUCGGUGUGAAUGAGAACGCAGCAAAGCUCAUGUUUUCCAUUGUUGAAAUACCAGCAUAAAUCUCUCACUAAUGCACUGCUGUCUUUUAUUAUAGUCACUGUGGCAUAGAGAAGUACGUCAAAUCUCUCUGUGUUGGUGCAGUCAGUUGCUGGCAUCGCCCUGACAUGUUGUUUCUUCCCUUAAGAUGGCUUUGUGAAGGGACUCAAAUGAGUUGCUCAGAUUCUGGCAGCACCUCCGCGUGUUUUGACAAAUCUGAGGCUUCAGAGUUGUGCGUGAGAAGGUUCAAAGCAGGGGGAAACCAAGUCCCAGUGGUGGGCUUUGACAAAUCCAGGCCCAUGUCAGUGCUGACGGGGCGGUGGUGAGGAUCCAGGGCAGGGGCACGGGGUGUCCUUCAGCACAUGAGUGGGAGAACGCUGCUCUCGUGCACAGUUACAGUUUUGUUCCACCUUUCCCCUUCACAAGUGAAUCUUUCAGUUGUGUCUGAAGGAUUGCUCACAGAUUGAGGUUUGUGGUUAUUUAAGCAAGUGGUCGUAUAGAGAAAUAAAACCACAGUGAGGUAAGGAAUUUAAUGACUG